GGCCGCGGGAAUUCGAUUGCAUAUCAAUAAGCGGAGGAAAAGAAACUAACAAGGAUUCCCCUAGUAACGGCGAGUGAAGAGGGAAGAGCCCAAGAUUGAAAGCUGGCGUCUUCGGCGUCCGCAUUGUAAUCUCAAGAAGUGUUUUCCGCUUCGGACCAAGCCUAAGUCCCCUGGAAAGGGGCAUCAUAGAGGGUGAUAAUCCCGUACAUGGCUUGGAGCGCCCGUAGCUUUGUGAUACACUUUCUAAGAGUCGAGUUGUUUGGGAAUGCAGCUCAAAAUGGGUGGUAAAUGCCAUCUAAGGCUAAAUAUUGGGGAGAGACCGAUAGCGAACAAGUACAGUGAUGGAAAGAUGAAAAGAACUUUGAAAAGAGAGUUAAACAGUACGUGAAAUUGCCAAAAGGGAAGGGUAGGAGGUCAGAGAUGCGGCCUAGGAUUCAGCCUUGCUUUUGCUUGGUGUUUUUCCUAGAUUGCAGGCCAACGUCGGUUCUGGGCACUGGAGAAGGGUGGAAGGAACGUGGCACCUCUCGGGGUGUGUUAUAGCCUUCUACUGGAUACAGCGACCGAGACCGAGGACAGCAGCGUACUCGCAAGAGCGGGCCUUCGGGCACCUUUACGCUUAGGGCGUUGGCAUAAUGGCCCUCUACCACCCGUCUUGAAACACGGACCAAUCACUAGUGAAUUC
RNAcentral lists this ribosomal RNA (682 nucleotides) under [Candida] sp. SY16. RNAcentral describes it as "eukaryotic LSU rRNA". It matches the Rfam family "Eukaryotic large subunit ribosomal RNA", at positions 24 to 683 of the family's 3401-position model. The record is from RNAcentral. Lineage: Eukaryota; Fungi; Ascomycota; Saccharomycetes; Saccharomycetales.